AUUGAACGCUGGCGGAAUGCUUUACACAUGCAAGUCGAGCGGCAGCGCGGGGCAACCUGGCGGCGAGCGGCGAACGGGUGAGUAAUGCAUCGGAACGUACCCAGUCGUGGGGGAUAGCCCGGCGAAAGCCGGAUUAAUACCGCAUACGUCCUGAGGGAGAAAGCGGGGGACCGCAAGGCCUCGCGCGAUUGGAGCGGCCGAUGUCGGAUUAGCUAGUUGGUAGGGUAAAGGCCUACCAAGGCGACGAUCCGUAGCUGGUCUGAGAGGAUGAUCAGCCACACUGGGACUGAGACACGGCCCAGACUCCUACGGGUGGCAG
RNAcentral lists this ribosomal RNA (319 nucleotides) under uncultured Pseudomonadota bacterium. RNAcentral's name for it is "bacterial SSU rRNA". It matches the Rfam family "Bacterial small subunit ribosomal RNA", at positions 29 to 351 of the family's 1533-position model. The record is from RNAcentral. Lineage: Bacteria; Pseudomonadati; Pseudomonadota.